Molecule: long non-coding RNA, 1432 nt
Organism: Poecilia reticulata (guppy)
Lineage: Eukaryota; Metazoa; Chordata; Actinopteri; Cyprinodontiformes; Poeciliidae
Source: RefSeq, a predicted model, not a curated record
CCCCACUGAGGGACAAGGGUGCAAGAAAAUGGAUGGAUGGAUAGUCAUAAAACCAGUGUGUGAUAAUUAACUGUAGGUUGUUACUAUCCAUGGUUUGUUUUCUGUUUUUUUUUUUUUAAUUCGGAAACGUGAGAAAAACCCAAAAACAUUAACUCUGCAACACAAAUUGAUCCAAAUUUAAAGGUCAUGGUGGUUUAUGUGUCGCAGAGGCAUCUGCAUGCAAAUUUCCAGUAAUAUAGGAACGACAAAAAUUUGCUUGAGUGAUGUGUGUGGUGGAAUCAUGCAAAUGUUUUUUCAUGGUGCAGCCAGUUCACAUUUUGUAAUGCUGUAUUCAUCAGUCGGUCAUUUUUCAGUAAUGCAUCAGUGGUGAUCUGUGGUGGACGUCUUUGCAUUAACUGUAAACCCCACAGUUAAAUGGGACAUUUGCAWUCAUCAUCAUGGAAAUUAUUAGCAUAUUGUGUCUGUGUCUCUUUUAGACAUUGGUUAAUCCCAAGUUGUCCAGGCUGGUGACUGCACACKUAUAACUUCAGUGAUAUUUUUAAAACCAAGAACUGGGUGCGUACRUUUGUAUUUAUUGUUGGAUUUUCUUUAAUUCACUCAGGAUCAACGUUGUAAAGUAAAUAUGGGCUCAAAUAUUUACUUAUUCCUCCUUAAAUGUUCACAACCAUCAUCCUACUACUUCCUGUCGUCGUCGUUUUCGCGGUUUUCGCCAAUAGCAACAUCCGGUUGUUGAUCACGUGACUCGUGUGACGCGAAAAAAKCAGUUUUGCAGUUUUGCUAAAUACGUCUAUUUUGAGAAACCRCCGUAUCUUAGCGCAAGAGCUUUCGAAAUUGGCAGGUUUCCAUUAAGCAAAUUUAUUUUCCUUAUUUUCCGCCACUGUAUGGUUAAUGCAAAUGCAGCCUGUUAGUCUCUUAUUAAUAAUUUUCUAUCAAUUUCCUAUCGUUCGACACCUCAAAUUAACUCAAACUUCCUUUAUCUAGUGAGUGUAUGCUUACUUCUGACGCAUCCAGUUUGCAACUUGAACUUCGACUGCAAACAGUCAAAAGUAACAUAGGCUAAUUCAGAUCACGCAUAUUCGAUUAAAAUGAAAAUUUCAUUGUAAACAAACUCGUGUUUCCUUCAGAAAGAGUCUCCAGAUUUUAUCCGCAGGAAAAUGGCUCAAGUACAGGUGCUUUUUAAUGACGGCCGUCCUUCUCUCCUCAGCUCUGGGAUUUAUGGACAGCUGGGGCCUUCAGGCCCCAUUCUCCAGCUGCAACAGGACUCGAUCCUCUUAUUCUGUCUGAGCCUCAGGACCCGAAGCUCAGUUUUCAGAAUAAAUUGUUAUUCCACCCAAAUGGGGGCAUGAUGACAUCAGCUCCACCAUCUAAUGUGUUUGCGCAGCGUUGAUGUGGAGUCAGUAAAGUUGUGAAGAGAGAUGCAGCAGAUAAUUUA